ACGGGAGGCAGCAGUGAGGAAUAUUGGUCAAUGGAGGAAACUCUGAACCAGCCAAGUCGCGUGAGGGAAGAAUGCCCUACGGGUUGUAAACCUCUUUUGCCGGGGGAUAAACCUGACCACGUGUGGUCAGCUGAAGGUACCCGGUGAAUAAGCAUCGGCUAACUCCGUGCCAGCAGCCGCGGUAAUACGGAGGAUGCGAGCGUUAUCCGGAUUUAUUGGGUUUAAAGGGUGCGCAGGCGGCUUUUUAAGUCAGUGGUUAAAUCGUGACGCUCAACGUCAUCACGCCAUUGAUACUGGAGAGCUUGAUUGCGGUCGAGGUUUGCGGAAUUCGUCGUGUAGCGGUGAAAUGCAUAGAUAUGACGAAGAACACCGAUUGCGUAGGCAGCAGACCAGGCCGUAAAUGACGCUCAUGCACGAAAGUGCGGGGAUCGAACAGGAUUAGAUACCCUGGUA
Molecule: ribosomal RNA, 453 nt
Filed under: uncultured Barnesiella sp.
Lineage: Bacteria; Pseudomonadati; Bacteroidota; Bacteroidia; Bacteroidales; Barnesiellaceae
Description: partial 16S ribosomal RNA
Rfam family: Bacterial small subunit ribosomal RNA
Source: RNAcentral